Hemicordylus capensis (graceful crag lizard) is the source of this 1118-nucleotide long non-coding RNA. RefSeq lists it as uncharacterized. The record is from RefSeq and is a predicted model, not a curated record. NCBI's taxonomy places the organism in Eukaryota, Metazoa, Chordata, Lepidosauria, Squamata, Cordylidae. The transcript is spliced from 5 exons.
UGCUGAGUAAUGGCCACUAAGGAAUGAAGUUCUGAGAACGGAAAUGUCUUGGGGGCGGGAGGGGGGGAUGACGUAUUGUUCAGUUCUCACCAGAAAGUAGUUACAAGUCACCUGGUUUAAUUCCCCCUCCCCCCUUCUUCUUUUCCUUUUCUGAAAGCUACUCAUAGGCAGCUGAAAUUAAGGCUUGAAGUUCCUAUUUGGCCACUCCUCCCAAACAAGCAGCAACCAUGUUGGCUAGUCUGUGACAUCACACCUGUGGUCUUUCUUUGAGGCCUGGUUAGGGAGCAUAGUUUCCUGUAAUAUUUGACCAAAAACAACUGUGAUUUUGAAAGAUUCCAAAAGAUUGAAAGGUAAUUUUCCAGUUUACAAGGAACUGUAGAAUAUCUGUUCUAUCAAGAAAAAGAUGCUUCUCCAAGAUAUCUGAAAGUGGAGCAUGUGCUGAGAAGGCAGCUGAGGUUGCGGCACUGUGGAUGGAAUUGGCUGCAAUUCCUCCUGGAACUGGAAGAUUAAGAGCCUUGUAGGUGCAGCGCCUGGUAGGAUAGAUACUUGUUCACACUUCUAGUCUUGAGAGGCAUCAGGCACUAGUGGAGGCUGAUUAGAUGUGAUCCUAUGCAGUGCACCCUUACUUGGAAAUAUAUUAUACUGACACCAAUGGGAAUUUCUUCCAAAUUACUGAGGUGUAAAGCUCACAGCCCUUGAGAGCCAAAGUUAUAGUCUGAUCUCAGAGGUAUUCCUGAAUCUGCUUUUUUCAUGAAGGCCGCUGAUAAAUAAAAAAUGCUAGUGAAGAGUAACAGCAUGGAGACAGGAAGAUGCAAGAUGCAGGUGGUACAAGCAGUCUGCCUUCACUGACAUACAGUGGCAUCUGGAAACCUCCCAAAGGCACUCCUAAUUAUCAUGCCUCCCAGCUCAUUCUGCUGUUCUCUGUGUAAAAAUGACAACCUGUAACUCACUGGAAGAAGCACACCAGCUACUCCCUUCUUUUCACAGACCCAGGCAGGCAACAACAACAGGAGAAUUAUCUAACUUCAUGUACCACCAUAUAUGGCUAGUGUACUGCAUUCUGCUUGGUAUCCCAUAGUAUGCAGAGAUGUACAAUAUCAAUUAAAAUGAAAAUAAAU